CAGAGCGUAGCUAAAACAGUUAUAGCAUCUCCCUUACACUGAGAAGUCACCCGUGCAACUCGGGUCGCCCUGA
Molecule: transfer RNA, 73 nt
Filed under: Scopelarchus sp. ausc01
Lineage: Eukaryota; Metazoa; Chordata; Actinopteri; Aulopiformes; Scopelarchidae
Also listed under: 3 other names
Description: tRNA-Val
Rfam family: tRNA
About the family: Transfer RNA (tRNA) molecules are approximately 80 nucleotides in length. Their secondary structure includes four short double-helical elements and three loops (D, anti-codon, and T loops). Further hydrogen bonds mediate the characteristic L-shaped molecular structure. tRNAs have two regions of fundamental functional importance: the anti-codon, which is responsible for specific mRNA codon recognition, and the 3' end, to which the tRNAs corresponding amino acid is attached (by aminoacyl-tRNA synthetases). tRNAs cope with the degeneracy of the genetic code in two manners: having more than one tRNA (with a specific anti-codon) for a particular amino acid; and 'wobble' base-pairing, i.e. permitting non-standard base-pairing at the 3rd anti-codon position.
Source: RNAcentral